RNAcentral lists this small RNA (452 nucleotides) under Pan troglodytes (chimpanzee). Its description in RNAcentral is "retained intron". The record is from RNAcentral. Lineage: Eukaryota; Metazoa; Chordata; Mammalia; Primates; Hominidae.
CCGACGUUUGUGUGCUGAGCUCCCCUUCCCUGAGGCCCCGACGUGUCUGCUGCUCUCCUCAGCUCCUGGGGCUCCUGGGGCUGAGGGGCUGCAUCUGUCUCAGCCUGGCCGUGACCCACUCAGCCGUGCUUCCCCUCUUUCAGCCGGUGGCUGCUGGCAGCGGAAUCCCCCAGAUCAAGUGCUUCCUCAACGGGGUGAAGAUCCCCCACGUGGUGCGGCUCAAGACGUUGGUGAUCAAAGUGUCCGGUGUGAUCCUGUCCGUGGUCGGGGGCCUGGCUGUGGGAAAGGUAACAAAGUGCACAUGGCCACUCCAGCUGGAGCCUGAGGCCGCCGGGCCCGCGAGGGCCGCCACGCCCAUGUGUGUCUCUGAGCACCGGUCCUUCUGGUCUCCAGGAAGGGCCGCGUCACGCGUGUCUCUGAGCACCGGUCCUUCUGGUCUCCAGGAAGGGCCG